AAUAGAUACUCCCCCUUCCCAUCAGGCAGUCUUUGUAACUAGCUUCACUCUUAUAGUAUAUGGGUGGGAGCGUAAUGCUGCCAUGAAUAAUUAAUCAAGAAAAGAAAAUUACGGUAAGUAUGAAGCAAAUUUUCCUUUUCCUGACCAUUAUUCAUGGCAGCAUUUACUGAUGGGUAAUACCCAAGCAGAAUAUAUAGAGGGAAGGACAGAGUUCAAAAACAGCCAAUAGUUAUAAAAACAUUAUUGGGCUGCUUAAACCUUAGAAGACUUUAAAAAAGCCAAACCAGUAAUCAAUAGGAUAUUGAUAUAAAACCUGUUCAGACAAGGUAAUUUACCCUAACGGCUGCAAGGUCUGCAACCUCCUGGCAUUCAAGUGUCUGAAAUGGCCAGAUAGGAAUUAAGGCCACGACAGCCAAACAUAGAGAAGGAACAAGGCUAAACAAACUCUCGUAAUCCAUUUUGCGAUGGAUUAAAAAAAAUAAAUGUUCUUUUCUGAUAUAAAUUUAAAACCAAUGGAUGACAUCAAAUCAGAACCUUGAUAAAGGCAUAACUUUC
This is a non-coding RNA of Pelobates cultripes (western spadefoot toad), 555 nucleotides long. The record is from the annotation of a GenBank genome assembly. Lineage: Eukaryota; Metazoa; Chordata; Amphibia; Anura; Pelobatidae.